Molecule: ribosomal RNA, 498 nt
Filed under: uncultured bacterium
Lineage: Bacteria
Description: bacterial SSU rRNA
Rfam family: Bacterial small subunit ribosomal RNA
Source: RNAcentral
CUGGCGGCGUGCUUAACACAUGCAAGUCGAACGGAGUGGUCCUCCCGAAGACCUGAAGAGCUUGCUCAGAUGGAAUUCAUUUGGAUCACUUAGUGGCGGACGGGUGAGUAACGCGUGGGUAACCUGCCUCACACUGGGGGAUAGCAGUUGGAAACGACUGAUAAUACCGCAUAAGCGCACAGAUAGGCAUCUAUCAGUGUGAAAAACUCCGGUGGUGUGAGAUGGACCCGCGUCUGAUUAGCUAGUUGGUGAGGUAACGGCCCACCAAGGCGACGAUCAGUAGCCGGCCUGAGAGGGUGUACGGCCACAUUGGGACUGAGACACGGCCCAAACUCCUACGGGAGGCAGCAGUGGGGAAUAUUGGACAAUGGGGGCAACCCUGAUCCCAGCGACGCCGCGUGAGCGAAGAAGUAUUUCGGUAUGUAAAGCUCUACCAGCAGGGAAGAUAAUGACGGUACCUGACUAAGAAGCACCGGCUAAAUACGUGCCAGCCGCCGC